AGCAGCCGCGGUAAUUCCAGCUCCAAUAGCGUAUAUUAAAGUUGUUGCAGUUAAAAAGCUCGUAGUUGAAUUUCGGGAUCAGCAGGUCGGUCGUGCCACUGGUAUGCACUGGCCUUGCUGAUUCCCCCCCUCUUGAUGAGCCGUAAUGCCAUUAAUUUGGUGUUGCAGGGAAUCAGGACUGUUACUUUGAAAAAAUUAGAGUGUUUAAAGCAGGCAUGCGCUUGAAUACAUUAGCAUGGAAUAAUGAAAUAGGACGUUCGAUCCUAUUUUGUUGGUUUCUAGGAUUGACGUAAUGAUUAAUAGGGAUAGUUGGGGGCAUUAGUAUUCAAUUGUCAGAGGUGAAAUUCUUGGAUUUAUUGAAGACUAACUACUGCGAAAGCAUUUGCCAAGGAUGUUUUCAUUAAUCAAGAACGAAAGUUAGGGGAUCGAAGACGAUCAGAUACCGUCGUAGUCUUAACCAUAAACUAUGCCGACUAGGGAUCGGAUGAUGUUAAUUUUUUAAUGACUCAUUCGGCGCCUU
This 520-nucleotide ribosomal RNA is filed under the name uncultured Glomus. RNAcentral describes it as "SSU rRNA". It matches the Rfam family "Eukaryotic small subunit ribosomal RNA", at positions 569 to 1089 of the family's 1831-position model. Lineage: Eukaryota; Fungi; Glomeromycota; Glomeromycetes; Glomerales; Glomeraceae. The record is from RNAcentral.